RNAcentral lists this ribosomal RNA (254 nucleotides) under uncultured bacterium. Its description in RNAcentral is "partial 16S ribosomal RNA". It matches the Rfam family "Bacterial small subunit ribosomal RNA", at positions 524 to 776 of the family's 1533-position model. The record is from RNAcentral.
GACAGAGGCCCCAAGCGUUAGGCGGAAUCACUGGGCUUAAAGCGUGUGUAGGCGGACGCCUAAGUGUCUUGUGAAAUCCCACGGCUCAACCGUGGAACUGCUGGGCAUACUGGACAUCUCGAGGCACUCAGGGGCGAGCGGAACAAGUGGUGGAGCGGUGAAAUGCGUAGAUAUCACUUGGAACGCCAAUGGUGAAGACAGCUCGCUGGGGGUGUCCUGACGCUGAGGCGGCGAAAGCCAGGGGAGCGAACGGG